GGGUUGUGAGGUUAAGCGACUAAGCGUACACGGUGGAUGCCCUGGCAGUCAGAGGCGAUGAAGGGCGUGCUAAUCUGCGAUAAGCGCCGGUAAGGUGAUAUGAACCGUUAUAACCGGCGAUACCCGAAUGGGGAAACCCAGUGUGAUUCGUCACACUAUCAUUAACUGAAUCCAUAGGUUAAUGAGGCGAACCGGGGGAACUGAAACAUCUAAGUACCCCGAGGAAAAGAAAUCAACCGAGAUUCCCCCAGUAGCGGCGAGCGAACGGGGAGGAGCCCAGAGCCUGAAUCAGCAUGUGUGUUAGUGGAAGCGUCUGGAAAGGCGCGCGAUACAGGGUGACAGCCCCGUACACAAAAGCGCAUGUGCUGUGAGCUCGAUGAGUAGGGCGGGACACGUGGUAUCCUGUCUGAAUAUGGGGGGACCAUCCUCCAAGGCUAAAUACUCCUGACUGACCGAUAGUGAACCAGUACCGUGAGGGAAAGGCGAAAAGAACCCCGGCGAGGGGAGUGAAAAAGAACCUGAAACCGUGUACGUACAAGCAGUGGGAGCACCCUUCGGGGUGUGACUGCGUACCUUUUGUAUAAUGGGUCAGCGACUUAUAUUCUGUAGCAAGGUUAACCGUAUAGGGAGCCGGAGGAAACCGAGUCUUAAUUGGGCGUUAAGUUGCAGGGUAUAGACCCGAAACCCGGUGAUCUAGCCAUGGGCAGGUUGAAGGUUGGGUAACACUAACUGGAGGACCGAACCGACUAAUGUUGAAAAAUUAGCGGAUGACCUGUGGCUGGGGGUGAAAGGCCAAUCAAACCGGGAGAUAGCUGGUUCUCCCCGAAAGCUAUUUAGGUAGCGCCUCGUGAAUUCAUCUCCGGGGGUAGAGCACUGUUUCGGCUAGGGGGCCAUCCCGGCUUACCAACCCGAUGCAAACUGCGAAUACCGGAGAAUGUUAUCACGGGAGACACACGGCGGUGCUAACGUCCGUCGUGAAGAGGGAAACAACCCAGACCGCCAGCUAAGGUCCCAAAGUCAUGGUUAAGUGGGAAACGAUGUGGGAAGGCCCAGACAGCGGGAUGUUGGCUUAGAAGCAGCCAUCAUUUAAAGAAAGCGUAAUAGCUCACUGGUCGAGUCGGCCUGCGCGGAAGAUGUAACGGGGCUAAACCAUGCACCGAAGCUGCGGCAGCGAACGUAUCACCCAAGACAACUUUACGGAGUUGACGAUUGACGGAGCGAAGCGACGUCAAAGCGUUCAUUAAAGUCGAGUUGGCUUAGGGAUACGUUCGUUGGGUAGGGGAGCGUUCUGUAAGCCUGUGAAGGUGUGUCGUGAGGCAUGCUGGAGGUAUCAGAAGUGCGAAUGCUGACAUAAGUAACGAUAAAGCGGGUGAAAAGCCCGCUCGCCGGAAGACCAAGGGUUCCUGUCCAACGUUAAUCGGGGCAGGGUGAGUCGACCUAAGGCGAGGCCGAAAGGCGUAGUCGAUGGGAAACGGGUUAAUAUUCCCGUACUUGGUGUUACUGCGAAGGGGACGGAGAUGGCUAUGUUGGCCGGGCGACGGUUGUCCCGGUUUAAGCGUGUAGGUGUGUGUUCCAGGUAAAUCCGGUUCACUUUAACACUGAGGCGUGACGACGAGGCACUACGGUGCUGAAGCAACAAAUGCCCUGCUUCCAGGAAAAGCCUCUAAGCAUCAGGUAACACGAAAUCGUACCCCAAACCGACACAGGUGGUCAGGUAGAGAAUACCAAGGCGCUUGAGAGAACUCGGGUGAAGGAACUAGGCAAAAUGGUGCCGUAACUUCGGGAGAAGGCACGCUGACACGUAGGUGAAGUGAUUUACUCAUGGAGCUGAAGUCAGUCGAAGAUACCAGCUGGCUGCAACUGUUUAUUAAAAACACAGCACUGUGCAAACACGAAAGUGGACGUAUACGGUGUGACGCCUGCCCGGUGCCGGAAGGUUAAUUGAUGGGGUCAGCGUAAGCGAAGCUCCUGAUCGAAGCCCCGGUAAACGGCGGCCGUAACUAUAACGGUCCUAAGGUAGCGAAAUUCCUUGUCGGGUAAGUUCCGACCUGCACGAAUGGCGUAAUGAUGGCCAGGCUGUCUCCACCCGAGACUCAGUGAAAUUGAACUCGCUGUGAAGAUGCAGUGUACCCGCGGCAAGACGGAAAGACCCCGUGAACCUUUACUAUAGCUUGACACUGAACAUUGAGCCUUGAUGUGUAGGAUAGGUGGGAGGCUUUGAAGUGUGGACGCCAGUCUGCAUGGAGCCGACCUUGAAAUACCACCCUUUAAUGUUUGAUGUUCUAACGUGGACCCGUAAUCCGGGUUGCGGACAGUGUCUGGUGGGUAGUUUGACUGGGGCGGUCUCCUCCUAAAGAGUAACGGAGGAGCACGAAGGUUGGCUAAUCCUGGUCGGACAUCAGGAGGUUAGUGCAAUGGCAUAAGCCAGCUUGACUGCGAGCGUGACGGCGCGAGCAGGUGCGAAAGCAGGUCAUAGUGAUCCGGUGGUUCUGAAUGGAAGGGCCAUCGCUCAACGGAUAAAAGGUACUCCGGGGAUAACAGGCUGAUACCGCCCAAGAGUUCAUAUCGACGGCGGUGUUUGGCACCUCGAUGUCGGCUCAUCACAUCCUGGGGCUGAAGUAGGUCCCAAGGGUAUGGCUGUUCGCCAUUUAAAGUGGUACGCGAGCUGGGUUUAGAACGUCGUGAGACAGUUCGGUCCCUAUCUGCCGUGGGCGCUGGAGAACUGAGGGGGGCUGCUCCUAGUACGAGAGGACCGGAGUGGACGCAUCACUGGUGUUCGGGUUGUCAUGCCAAUGGCACUGCCCGGUAGCUAAAUGCGGAAGAGAUAAGUGCUGAAAGCAUCUAAGCACGAAACUUGCCCCGAGAUGAGUUCUCCCUGAGACUUAGAGUCUCCUGAAGGAACGUUGAAGACGACGACGUUGAUAGGCCGGGUGUGUAAGCGCAGCGAUGCGUUGAGCUAACCGGUACUAAUGAACCGUGAGGCUUAACCUUACAACGCCGAAG
RNAcentral lists this ribosomal RNA (3003 nucleotides) under Salmonella enterica subsp. enterica serovar 1,4,[5],12:i:-. Its description in RNAcentral is "23S ribosomal RNA". It matches the Rfam family "Bacterial large subunit ribosomal RNA". Lineage: Bacteria; Pseudomonadati; Pseudomonadota; Gammaproteobacteria; Enterobacterales; Enterobacteriaceae. The record is from RNAcentral.